CCUACGGGAGGCAGCAGUGGGGGAUAUUGCACAAUGGGGGGAACCCUGAUGCAGCGACGCCGCGUGGGUGAAGAAGCGCCUCGGCGCGUAAAGCCCUGUCAGCAGGGAAGAAAAUGACGGUACCUGAAGAAGAAGCCCCGGCGAACUACGUGCCAGCAGCCGCGGUAAUACGUAGGGGGCAAGCGUUAUCCGGAUUUACUGGGUGUAAAGGGGGCGCAGACGGCGAUGCAAGCCAGGGGUGAAGGCCCGGGGGCCAACCCCGGGACUGCUCUUGGAACUGCGUGGCUGGAGUGCAGGAGGGGCAGGCGGAAUUCCUGGUGUAGCGGUGAAAUGCGUAGAUAUCAGGAGGAACACCGGUGGCGAAGGCGGCCUGCUGGACUGCAACUGACGUUGAGGCCCGAAAGCGUGGGGAGCAAACAGGAUUAGAUACCCUUGUAGUC
Molecule: ribosomal RNA, 440 nt
Filed under: uncultured bacterium
Lineage: Bacteria
Description: partial 16S ribosomal RNA
Rfam family: Bacterial small subunit ribosomal RNA
Source: RNAcentral